CGCAAAAGAAAAACAAAAGAUUGUGUGAAAGUUAAUUAUUAUCUCAAAGAGAGCGAAACCGACAUAAAACCACACUAUUGUUGCCUUUUUUGGUUGAAGAUCGGCAUGCAAUCAACGGAGAUAUAACAUCUUUCCAUCAAUGCUUUCCUUGGAAUGAUAUAUGAAGCAAAUCGACGACGACAAAUAUGUUAGAAAAAUCAAUUUUACAUAUGUGGCUCCGGCCAAUUUUCCGACGACUUUUCCGGUGAUGUUCGUGAGCUAGUUUGGAUUACGGAAAGAGAUCAAAUCUUGCCUUCACUCGUUUUCGAAA
Molecule: long non-coding RNA, 310 nt
Organism: Arabidopsis thaliana (thale cress)
Lineage: Eukaryota; Viridiplantae; Streptophyta; Magnoliopsida; Brassicales; Brassicaceae
Product: other RNA
Exons: 1
Source: RefSeq